RNAcentral lists this long non-coding RNA (6594 nucleotides) under Phoenix dactylifera (date palm). Its description in RNAcentral is "long non-coding RNA (PDAC_LNC001482)". The record is from RNAcentral. Lineage: Eukaryota; Viridiplantae; Streptophyta; Magnoliopsida; Arecales; Arecaceae.
GUCGUGGAUGCCAACGCCUCCCCCCGGCCGUCUGGCCCACCACCGAGCUUCCCGGCCGUGAGCCCCGACGUCUUCAACUCCGUCGACGAGGACGAGGACCUCUACGGCCGCCUCAAGUCCCUCCAGCGCCAGAUCGAGUUCGUCGACAUCCAGGAGGAGUACGUCAAGGACGAGCAGAAGAAUCUUAAGCGCGAGCUCCUCCGCGCCCAGGAGGAGGUCAAGCGGAUCCAGUCCGUCCCCCUCGUAAUUGGCCAGUUCAUGGAGAUGGUCGAUCAGAACAACGGCAUCGUCGGCUCGACCACCGGAUCCAACUACUAUGUUCGAAUCUUGAGCACCAUCAACCGUGAGCUUCUCAAACCCUCCGCCUCCGUCGCCCUCCACCGCCACUCCAACGCCCUUGUCGAUGUGCUCCCGCCCGAGGCCGACUCUAGCAUCUCCCUCCUCAGCCAGUCCGAGAAGCCGGACGUCACCUACAACGUGAGUGUCGAAACCCUAGAAAGAUUGAUUCUUCGAUCGAACAUAUCUCUGUUCUUAUUGAUUAGGGCUUGAGAAGAUCUCAUCGAGGGUUUGGAAAUUCGAGGGUAAAAAAUGAGGGAUUGGGGUCUUGGCAUGGAAGUUUGUUAGCUUGGUGGAUUAUUGCGGAUAAGACAGAAUUCAGAACUCUGCAAGCUUUCGAUUUCUUUACUUUUGCAUCUAGGUUAUGAAACAUUUAAUUUUGGGUUUUCUUGAAGAUGGAUUUAGGGAUUAAAGAAAGUGCGCCAUUUUUCUUGGAUUUUUUUGCGUGAUUUCGAUUGAUUAACAUGGAAUUUUGGGGUGGAUUUGGGAUUUAAAACAUGAUUAAACUCGUUUCUUAUAGUUGUUUGAUAGAUGCAUGCGGGAAUAAGAUAAGGUUUGGAAAUUAUUCCGCCUCAGUAAUGUAUUUAGUUCAUUUGAAUAUUUUCAAUUCAGUUUUUGGGUUUCCUUGGAGUUGAAGUUAGGGUUUUCAAGAAAGAAAAGUGUAUCUUUUUAACUUUUUCGUUUUUGGAAUCCGGGGAUUUCAGAUAUGUUGCUGGAUAUAGCUAAAAGUUACAGGAUGGUUACUGAGAAGAUGCGUAGUUUGUGGUAAUUAUGCUGUUUUCCAUUUGAAAGGUUUGUAGAAAGACACAUAAUUUAUUAUUUCGAUUAUCCUGGAUUUCAGGAUUGAAGUCCUCUACCUCUUGCUAGGCUGUCGCUAUUUUUCCAUCAUGAAGGGUAGGGUAGAUAUUGGAGAAGAAAACUUCCUAGGUUGCCACAUGUUUACAUUUUGCUAGAACAAGAUGUCUAAACAUGUGGCUCUUCAUGCUGCCAUCUUAUACUUGUCACUAAUGGCCACACAUUUGAUCUUCUAAGCAAUUUGAAAACUGAAUUUUUGUUAGAUAAAUUAAGUGUCAACCUUGCUGGUUGCUUUAGAUAAUAGACUGACGAGGAUAUGUGUGGUUUUUCAAAUCUCAUUGAUCCAGUAGAUUAUGAUUCUACACAAAAUGUUAUGGGUACAUAGAAUUUGGGUCAUUUUAAAAGUGAGAUAUGUUGUUAUUAUAAUUGUUACAUAGUUGAAGCUAAAUCUAAGAUAUUUGUCAUGGAUAUGAAAUGGUCAACUAUUGAUGGGGUGGGGUUGAAGGUUGGAUUAUAAAGUCUUGUUUUGAAGUUGAAAUGAUUGCAGAGCAUUGAUGGAUUUUGUGUCAUACACAUUUUGUGAACUGUUGGUAAAGACUAAAGUGAUUGGAAUAUUUACUCUCUGUUUAAUUUUAACACUAUCACUUUCAUCUAUCCAAUGAUCAUUCUGUACUUAUUCAAUAACUUCCUUAUAAUAGUCACAGAUAUGUUCAAUAAAGUCAGAUUGGAUGACAAGUCCUUUAAGGUUCCUAGUGUUGGUCAGAUGGUUAAAAUUUCAGAUCUAGAGAUAAUUGGGCUUAGAUUUGGGCUGAAAAGUUUUGCAUAUCCGGCUAGAAAUAACCUUGUUGGCAUUUGUCCUUGAGUCGAUGCAUAUCAGUUCAAAUGAUAUACAUCAAAACACUUGGAUGUCGAUGAUUCUUGUAAAUUAGUUUGGAAGAUGCAUGAGGGACUUGACUUUCUCUAAGUACAGAUCUCAUGGAAACUUAAGGCUGCAUUUGGUAUCAUUGUCGCUUUUCGUUUUUUUAUAAAAAAGCUGGAAAUAGGAUUUCUAUUUGUAUUUUUUUUGCAGUUUUCUGACCACAUAAAACAUGUUUGGUUCGCCUUUUUUUUUAUAACAAUGAUAUGGCUGACAACGAGGGAGGGGGGGGGAUGGGGCCGGCAACGUGGUUGAGGAUGAGGGAGAGCUCGAUGUUGGGCGGAGAGGUAGUCAAAGGAGUGGUAGAGGGAAAGAAAGUGGGCAUGGGGCCAGCAAUACGGCCGGGGGUGAGGGAUAACUUGGCAUCGGGCGAAGAGAUGGCCGAUGAGGCCCGGAAGCUGGUGUGGUUGGGUGGGUGCAAUGGGGCUGAGGGUGAGAUUGGGCGGAAGAAGAGGGGUUGGGAGGAGAAUGGUGAAAACCCACUUUUAAAAAAGUGGAAGUGAAAUUUUUUCACUUUCACUUUUUUCAGAAAUAAUGUAAGUUGUUUGGAAAAAAAAUAGAAACAAAAACAGGGUAAUAAACAUAUUUUCUGCAUUGGAUUCCGUGUUUCUAUUUUUUUAAAGAAGAAACAGGAAAAAGUACCAAACAUGCUCUAAAUAGAUUUCUGAUUUUUUAAGAAACCUCAUCCCAUCAUUAUGAUAUGCUUGGAAUGAUAAAGUAAAAUUGUGCUCUUUUGGAGGUGAUUUAUAGUAAAAAGUAAACUGUGAUCACUUCUACCAUUAGUCAACCAUGUCAAAUUGUCGAGGCUAAAGGGUUUGUUAUUAGUGAUAUAUGCAAAUUGAUGUGGAGUCCAAGGUUUUUAGAUGGUGAGAUAUUGGUUAUCUUGGUAAAUGGCCGCUAAGAUGGAAGGUGGGGAAAUUUUGGAAAGAUCUGAGCUAUUCCUAUAUAUUAGUUGAUAUGUAGGAAGCAAGACAUCGAUAUCUUGUCUGAUAUAGUAUUACUUAUUGUAUUUAGGCGUCCAUUCUGAUUUUUUUUAUUACAAAAAAAAUCAUUAAAGAGAAUUUGGUUUUAGAAAUUGAUGCCAAAGCAUGAAACUUGUAAAGCCAUGUAAAUCAAGUACCAACAAUAGGUGACCAGAUAAUACAGACAGGCUGGAUGAUGCUCACAACAUCACGAAACUGUGGUUCAAUAGAUUGUUGUGCAGUGAUGCCCCAGACUUACUGUUACUUAAAUAUCCCUGUAAUUUAUAGUCUAAGAUAGUUCCCAUUGUUUCAUGUAGUUAAUAUUGUAGACAUACUGAAUUGUGACCCAUAUAGGAAAAGAUCUUGAUGCAACUUCUCUUUUAUAAAUCUGCUUGGUAUGAUAUAGUCAAUAAUCUUUACUUGACUGUGGGUUUGUUACAAAGAUGAUUGUAUUUACAUUAUGAUUUGCAAAACCAAGCCAUAUUCUGUAGAGACAAUCAUUAUGCAUGCAGUAUUUUUUUCCCCUUCUCCCUUUAUGUGUGCUUUGCGUGCUUGCUUGCCUUCAUGUGUGCUUGCAUUUUUGCUUUUAAAAGAGAUGCCAACNNNNNNNNNNNNNNNNNNNNGUCCCUUCCUCCCCCCUACCCCUUUUUUCAAAGCAAAAAAAAAAAAAAAAGAGAUGCCAACCAAAAGAAAUUAGUUAUAGGGAAAAAAACACCCGGUUCUUGGUUAACUUAUUUCUGUAAAAUACAUCUUGGGGAGUGGUGGUUUAAGGUGUACAUGUGCAAUAUAUUUUGUAGCUUUUUUAGCCCUUCUGGCAAAAAUACAAGUUGGUUGGUUACCUUCAGAGAGAGAGAGAGAGAGAGAGAGAAUUGUGUUGUAUGAAAUAUUGAAGUGACUUCUAUGUAGUGUGUAGUUUUGCUUGCAGCAUUUGGUAUUGGUUUAGAAUGUGCUAUAUGAUUUUGCAGCUUUUGCAGCACUUUUGGUACUAUGACAUUUGUUUGUUGGUUGCCCUUUGAAAAAAAUUGUGCUGUAUGAUAGCUUAUAAAUGAGAGUUUAACUGCUUUUAUGUUGAAUUAGGCUACUAGUCAAAUGAGUUGAAUAUAGUAUGCAUUUCUUUUCUUCUAAACCUUUACAUUGGUUUAAACAACAGUUUAGUUACUAUGGUGCUUCUGGAAUUGCUGAUCCACAUAGUUGAGGAAUGCUUACUGAAGAAGAAACUCAACUUGACUGCACAGAUUACAUGCAUUAUAUGGUCUGGUCGGUUAAAAAGUAGCAAUCAUGUUAUAGAAAGCAGAUCAUGACUGAUGAAAACAAUUGAACUGGGCACAUGUUUCUGUGCUUCUCUGCUUUCUUAGGUCUCCUCUGUUAUCUCUUAAUGGUGGAGCUCUCAGAACCACGUGGCUAGAACUUAGGGAAAUACCAUUCUCUCUUCACUUUUCAUUUUGUUAUUGUUUUGUAUAUUUUGUUCCCUGUCCGUUUGUUGUCACUCUUUGGUGUUCGUAUCAACUUGGCAUGGUGGAAAUUGUUAUACAUCUUUGGCCUUUCCUCUCUUUAGCUCUUUUUUUUGUAUCACUUCAACUAAAGACAUGAAACAUCUAUUGAUGAUUUUUCCAACAUGUUCAAAAUGUAGAAAAAUGAAAAUGUAGUUUGUCACUUCAGUCAGUAAUUGAUUAACCAUCUUUUAAUUUUUUGUUUUUUUCUUAAACAUUGGCAUUCUUUAUUCUUUUGAUAUCAGCUGGCAGUUUCUGGUUAACUGUAAAAAUUGUAAUGAUUUUCUGUCUUAUACUUUCUUUUGUAUUCUCAGGAUAUUGGGGGUUGCGAUAUUCAGAAGCAGGAAAUUCGUGAAGCUGUUGAGUUACCUCUGACACAUCAUGAGUUAUACAAACAGAUUGGUAUAGAUCCUCCAAGAGGCGUUCUUCUCUAUGGCCCUCCUGGUACUGGUAAAACCAUGCUUGCCAAGGCUGUUGCUAAUCAUACAACUGCUGCUUUUAUUAGAGUUGUUGGGUCAGAAUUUGUUCAGAAGUAUUUGGGUGAGGUAUGGUUUUUUAGCAAAUCUGAAUGCAUUACAUGCUUUCCUUUUCUAUGAAAUGUUCAUGUCACCUAGAAAUUGGUAUUUAAUCAAAUUUCUAUAUUUUAAAAAUGAUAGUCUGUUUGGUUAUCUUUUAUUUCCUUAACAGAACAGUGUAUAUAAUUUUUAAAUGUGUUGAGGUGAUGAGGACUUGAUGCUUAAUUUUUCUUUUCUUUUUUUUUUCAACUGAUAAGGGGUAGCCAUUGCUUUUAUCUGUUCCUUACAAUAAAAAGGUUUUAAGGGUACAUGCAGUAACAAUUUUCUACCACUUGUGCUUCUUAGAUGUGCUAAUUUUUCUUAACAAGAUUGCCGAUCAUGCUUAACUUCAUGAAAUAGAGUAUAAAUUUGUUUAGUAGUUUUGUCAUUUCUAUUCUUGUAAUUCUCUGUUAGACCUUGAAUUUUAUACCUUUUUUCAUUGCAUUCAGGGUCCACGGAUGGUUCGGGAUGUUUUCCGACUUGCCAAAGAGAAUGCCCCUGCAAUCAUAUUUAUUGAUGAGGUUGAUGCUAUUGCUACAGCACGUUUUGAUGCUCAAACUGGGGCUGACAGGGAAGUGCAGCGUAUCCUCAUGGAACUCUUGAAUCAGGUAGAACUAAGUAGAACAAAGAUAUCAGAGGCACUGCUUUCUCAAACAAUUGUCCUUCCUUUCUCUUUUUGAUGAAUUAAUGCCUAUCCACUUGUUUGAAAGAGCGAAAGGUGACAGAAAUUAAAGAGAACUCCAACAAGUUCAACUAAACUGCCAUGCUAUUCAAGUUAAUUUUAUGAAAAACUCCUGUAUUUAGUUUUGCUGUUUUCUGCUUGCUGCUUGCUACUACUGUUUGUGAUGCGAUCUUCUCUCUUGGACCACCUGUUUCAAAUUAGCCUGUUUUGGAUAAAACCCCCUCUUUCUCUCUUUCUUAUCUCCGCGGGACUAGAACCUUCUCUCUGCAAUGGCGGCCUCCGCCAUGGUCGUGGAUGCCAACGCCUCCCCCCGGCCGUCUGGCCCACCACCGAGCUUCCCGGCCGUGAGCCCCGACGUCUUCAACUCCGUCGACGAGGACGAGGACCUCUACGGCCGCCUCAAGUCCCUCCAGCGCCAGAUCGAGUUCGUCGACAUCCAGGAGGAGUACGUCAAGGACGAGCAGAAGAAUCUUAAGCGCGAGCUCCUCCGCGCCCAGGAGGAGGUCAAGCGGAUCCAGUCCGUCCCCCUCGUAAUUGGCCAGUUCAUGGAGAUGGUCGAUCAGAACAACGGCAUCGUCGGCUCGACCACCGGAUCCAACUACUAUGUUCGAAUCUUGAGCACCAUCAACCGUGAGCUUCUCAAACCCUCCGCCUCCGUCGCCCUCCACCGCCACUCCAACGCCCUUGUCGAUGUGCUCCCGCCCGAGGCCGACUCUAGCAUCUCCCUCCUCAGCCAGUCCGAGAAGCCGGACGUCACCUACAACAGAUCAUAGAUAAUCAUCAAAUAGAUCUUACAUUUUCUAACUCUUAUAUUGUUCUAUGCACCAUCUUUGUAUCCAAAGACCAUAUAGUGACUCUC